This 465-nucleotide ribosomal RNA is filed under the name uncultured Klebsiella sp. RNAcentral's name for it is "bacterial SSU rRNA". It matches the Rfam family "Bacterial small subunit ribosomal RNA", at positions 338 to 795 of the family's 1533-position model. Lineage: Bacteria; Pseudomonadati; Pseudomonadota; Gammaproteobacteria; Enterobacterales; Enterobacteriaceae. The record is from RNAcentral.
CCUACGGGCGGCAGCAGUGGGGAAUAUUGCACAAUGGGCGCAAGCCUGAUGCAGCCAUGCCGCGUGUGUGAAGAAGGCCUUCGGGUUGUAAAGCACUUUCAGCGGGGAGGAAGGCGGUGAGCCUAAUAACCUCAUCGAUUGACGUUACCCGCAGAAGAAGCACCGGCUAACUCCGUGCCAGCAGCCGCGGUAAUACGGAGGGUGCAAGCGUUAAUCGGAAUUACUGGGCGUAAAGCGCACGCAGGCGGUCUGUCAAGUCGGAUGUGAAAUCCCCGGGCUCAACCUGGGAACUGCAUUCGAAACUGGCAGGCUAGAGUCUUGUAGAGGGGGGUAGAAUUCCAGGUGUAGCGGUGAAAUGCGUAGAGAUCUGGAGGAAUACCGGUGGCGAAGGCGGCCCCCUGGACAAAGACUGACGCUCAGGUGCGAAAGCGUGGGGAGCAAACAGGAUUAGAUACCCUUGUAGUC